CAGCAGCCGCGGGAAUACGGAGGGUGCAAGCGUUAAUCGGAAUUACUGGGCGUAAAGGGUGCGUAGGCGGUUGUUUAAGUCUGUUGUGAAAUCCCCGGGCUCAACCUGGGAAUUGCAAUGGAAACUGGACGGCUAGAGUGUGUCAGAGGAUGGUGGAAUUCCCGGCGUAGCGGUGAAAUGCGUAGAGAUCGGGAGGAACAUCAGUGGCGAAGGCGGCCAUCUGGGACAACACUGACGCUGAAGCACGAAAGCGUGGGGAGCAAACAGGAUUAGAUACCCCGGUAGUCCCUGUCUCUUAUAA
Molecule: ribosomal RNA, 301 nt
Filed under: uncultured bacterium
Lineage: Bacteria
Description: partial 16S ribosomal RNA
Rfam family: Bacterial small subunit ribosomal RNA
Source: RNAcentral